GAUUUCCUUAGUAACGGCGAGCGAAAAGGAAAUUGUCCAGCGCCAAGUCUUGACAUUUAGGUGUUCAAGAGAUGCGGCGUUAAUGUGUUGGCGCCUCGUGCGUUGCUUUCCGUUUCAAGUUCCCUUGAAUGGGACCCCAAAGUGGGUGCAAGGCCCAUAGAGACAGGAAGCUGGCGUAUGCAGGCCAAUGCAUUCUAGAGUCAGGUUGCUUGAGAGUGCAGCUUAAAGUCGGUGGUAAACUCCAUCUAAGACUAAAUAUUACAGCGAGACCGAUAGCAAACAAGUACCGUGAGGGAAAGUUGGAAAGCACUUUGAAGAGAGAGUUAAACAGUACGUGAAACCACUGGGAGGCAAACAGAUGGAACCACGAAGUUUGCGCUCCGGCCGAUUCAAUCUUUGGUGUUGGUCUGCCGUUGGUGGAUUGGGUCUUUUCGGAGGCUGUCCACUGGCGUCAUGAUUGGCACCACUGGUGCAUUUCGUGCCGGGGAUGCUAAGCCACGUUCGAUUAGAGUUGGARCGGCCGUAGGAUAGGGUUCGGAAAAGGUGCCCGUCACGUGCUUGCAUGUGAUGGUGUUAUAGUUCCGAGCUGGAACCGUUUCCUAACAUGCUGAUCGAUGAAAAUUCUCCGUUUGGAGUUGAACCACGUCUGCCUAUGGCCGGUAGAGUGCAUUUCGAUGUGUCCUUUGCGUGUCCUUGGAUGCGUAAAGCCGCGUCAACAGUGUAGGUUGCCGGUUGUUUGCGUGACGUGGUGGAACUGUGGCGCGAGUAGGUCGGUGUCCAUCUGACCCGUCUUGAAACACGGACCAAGGAGCCUACCAUAUACGCAAGUCACUCGGUCUUGUUUAGGCCUGGGAGGCGAAAUGAAAGUAACGCUACGAAGCUUCGGCUGCAGUAGYGGCACGCCUACUUCGUUUAUUGGCGAUCGGGCGUAGCUGGAGCGUAUACGGUGGUACCCGAAAGAUGGUGAACUAUGCCUGGGCAAGACGAAGCCAGAGGAAACUCUGGUGGAGGUCUGUAGCGAUUCUGACGUGCAAAUCGAUCGUCAGACCUGGGUAUAGGGGCGAAAGACUAAUCGAACCAUCUAGUAGCUGGUUCCCUCCGAAGUUUCCCUCAGGAUAGCAGGCGCCUGUUAUGAUCAGUCUCAUCCGGUAAAGCUAAUGAUUAGAGGUCUUGGGGUUGAAACGACCUCAACCUAUUCUCAAACUUUAAAUGGGUGAGAUGGUUGACUUUCUUGAUUGAAGCCAACCAAUUGGAUGUAGGUGCCUAGUGGGCCAUUUUUGGUAAGCAGAACUGGCGCUGUGGGAUGAACCAAACGUCGAGAUAAGGCAUCAAAUGCAUACGCUCAUGAGACCCCAUGAAAGGUGUUGGUUGCUAUAGACAGCAGGACGGUGGCCAUGGAAGUCGGAAUCC
This 1410-nucleotide ribosomal RNA is filed under the name Caenolestolichus sp. AD724. RNAcentral describes it as "eukaryotic LSU rRNA". It matches the Rfam family "Eukaryotic large subunit ribosomal RNA", at positions 73 to 1269 of the family's 3401-position model. The record is from RNAcentral. Lineage: Eukaryota; Metazoa; Arthropoda; Arachnida; Sarcoptiformes; Atopomelidae.